Molecule: ribosomal RNA, 312 nt
Filed under: Triticum aestivum (bread wheat)
Lineage: Eukaryota; Viridiplantae; Streptophyta; Magnoliopsida; Poales; Poaceae
Description: partial small subunit ribosomal RNA
Source: RNAcentral
AUGGUUUGUAGAGAUGCAUCUUCUCUUCUUCUUUUUGGUUCUUCAGAGGAGCGAUGCUGCCUGUGGGUCGUGGACAAAGCGGCUGCUACUUCCAGGAUAACAGGGACAAUGCUUCUGCCAUACCGGCAGGUGCUGGACAUGAUUCUCAAAGAAGAUACAGAUGUGCAUGCUUCACAUCUUCUACACGGUUAUGCAAAGUGGGAUUUUAUUCAUAUUUUGAUGAGCUUAAUUUCUUAUGCUACUAUUUGCUUCUGCCUGAAGGAUACAUAUGGUAUGUUUUGUGAGCGGUGGGUAUGGAUGAGGGUUUUGUGA